AACAUCGCGCACCUGCGGGAACCUGCGGAGGGAUCAUUACUGAGUCACGUGCUCAAACAACCCUUCUGUGGACCUGAAAUAAAACCGCUGCCUCGGCGGGCGGUCCCCCCCAAACCAACCCCACGUGGUGGGUUAGGGGAGACCAGACAGUCCGGUACGCUUAAGGCGUCCGGCGCCAGCCGCUGGCCCCAAACAAUUAAACUCUAGUAAUCUUUACCUUCUGAGUUUCAAUAUUUAAAA
This 240-nucleotide unclassified non-coding RNA is filed under the name soil metagenome. Its description in RNAcentral is "partial contains 5.8S ribosomal RNA, internal transcribed spacer 2, and large subunit ribosomal RNA". The record is from RNAcentral.